This 3101-nucleotide long non-coding RNA is filed under the name Sus scrofa (pig). Its description in RNAcentral is "lncRNA (ENSSSCG00005040882.1)". The record is from RNAcentral. Lineage: Eukaryota; Metazoa; Chordata; Mammalia; Artiodactyla; Suidae.
UUUUUUUUUUUUUUUUGUCUUUUGUCUUUUUAGGGCCACACCCACAGCAUAUGGAGGUUCCCAGGCUAGGAGUCCAAUUGGAGCUACAGCUGCCAGCCUACGCCACAGCUCACGGCAAUGCCAGAUCCUCAACCCACUGAGCAAGGCCAGGGAUCAAACCCAAAACCUCAUGGUUCCUAGUCAGAUUUGUUUCUGCUGCGCCACAACAGGAACUCCCCUGGAAUUCACAUUCUUAAGUUAUCCUCUUCCUUGAGUGUUGCUGGACCCAGUGACUCAAUUCUAACAAAAAGAAUACAGUACAAGUUAUGGAUGUGACUUCCAAAAGUAGGUUCUAGUAACACUCAGGCUCCUGUCCCCCGCCCCCUCCCCUGUGUGUGUGUGUGUGUGUGUGUGUGUGUGUGUGUGUGUUGUGCAAUAGAGUAGCCUCUAGCUACGCGUGUUACAUAAGUGCUUGGAAUGUGGCUAUUUUGAUAGACGCUGAGUUUAAAACCCAACUGGAUUUCAAGGACGGUACCAAAAAAAAUAAUGUGAAAAUCUCAAUAAUAUGUACACUGACCAUACGCUGAAAUACAGUAUUCAGAUAUAUAGGUUUAAAUAAAAACAUUAAAAUUAACUCCACUGGUUUCUUUCUGUUUUUUUAAUGUGGAAAAUUUGAAAUUUCAUAUGUCAACCUGCCUUUGGGGGCCACAACAUAUUUCUUUUGAAGGCCACUGAUACAGAUGAUAUUUUACUUGGUGAAGGAACACAGGACCCAUCAGAUUUCCUUGUGCCAUUGCCGAAUGCAAAUCCACUUGAAGAUCACUGCCUUAAGAACUUUUUCCUCCCAGUUUCUCCACCUGAGUAAUUCUGCCUCCAACCCUUCUUAAACUUAUAUUCUAGUCAUCCAAGUCAACUGAAAUAAAGGUGACUUUAAUGUCAUAAUUUCAAUGCACCAGAGGAUCCAGAAGAAGGGAGGGGGUAAAUAAAGAAGAAACCGGCUUUUUAAAACACUGUGACCAUUUGAUGCUUGAGUUCUGAAUAAGUUCUCCAUUUUCAACACUGAAUAAGUUCUCCAUUUUCAGUAAGGGAAUUUAUACAGUAAUUAACAAACACCCUGAAAGUGAUAGGAGAUACUCACUCAGGGACAAACACGAGAACGUGUUUCCAGCAGGACUGGGUCUGAUGCCCUCCCCUAAGCAACAAACCCUCUUUCCUAGGCCAACAGGUAAGCAGGAGACACUAAUAUGAGCCCUCAAAAAAAGCAUCUGGAAGGUAAAUAGAUUCACAUGUUUAAUCUGACAUUAUUGGAACAUUUUUCCUGCACCGUGAAAACUCUGCUUUAAUAAUUAAGUUGUUUUCCUCAGAGCACCUCAGCCUACUUAUAAACACCUCUUCAUUUCAAGUUAGAUUCCUUGGGCUUGAUUGAUUUUAAUGUUUAAAAGCCUAAAUUCGGGCAUUGUUUGAUUGUCUAAUCCAUGGCUGAUGCCCUGUGGGUUUGUAGUUCAGCUCUGGGCAGGGGGUAGAGAAGAGGGGUUUUUGUUGUCAUUGGGUUUUGUUUUGCUUUUUGCAGUUUUUAGUAAAUUCCUACACCCACGGUGGAAGGGAAGGAACAAAAGGGACAGGGAAGGGAAAUUUCUGACAGUUUUCAGGACCCUUCAGUAUGCACGUAAUGAAAACCCGGUAGAAUUAUCAGUAGUGUGCGCUUCUGUUAGGCAUUGAUCACAACUCUUUAAAACUAUCUAGCACCCUCCACCUUGUCGUUCAAGCCAGAAAUCCGGUGAUAAAUCUAGAGUCCUCACUUUCUUUCACUUCCCAACACGAUCAGUCACCAACAUUUGUAGCUUCAAACUUUCUUAAUGUCUCUUGAAUCACAUUCACCCUUCCUUCCUACCCCUCCCUCCUUUCAGAUGCCCGAGCACCUCUGCCGGAGUUGCUUCAACCCUCUUCUAACUGGCCUUCCCAGGUCUUGCCUCUCUGCUACUCAAUCUGCUUAAAACCUCCAUGGCUCCCUACUGUCCACAGGACAAGUUCAGACUUCUCAACGGAGUAUAUUCUUCAUGAGCUGCCCUGAGGCUGACCAUCAUGGGGUAGGGGGUGUAAAGAGAGACCAAAAUGGACAGCAGAUUUGGGGCAUGUUAAGGCAUUUAGUCAUUAUCUUUUGAGCAAUAGGAAGUCAAAAACGGUCAGUUUUAAGUAGGGUCAUACAUGAGCAGAUUUGCAUAGUGUUUGAAAGCAAGGGUUCUAGAAUCAAAUUUUUUUUCUUUUUUUUUUUUUGUCUUUUUGCCAUUUCUUGGACUGCUCCCGCAACACAUGGAGGUUCCCAGGCUAGGGGUCGAAUCGGAGUUGUAGCCACUGGCCUACCCCAGAGCCACAGCAACACAGGAUCCGAGCCACGUCUGCAACCUACACCACAGCUCACAGCAACGCAGGAUCUUCAACCCACUGAGCAAGGCCAGGGAUCAAACCCACAACCUUAUGGUUCCUAGUCGGAUUCGUUAACCACUGAGCCACGACGGGAACUCCCUAGAAUCAAAUUUAAGUCAAAGUCUGACUGCACCACUUAGCUGUAUGUCCUUGGGCAAGUUACUUAACCUUUCUGAGUUGGUUUCUUUUUCUUUCUUUUUUUUUUUUUUUUUUUUUUUUUUUUUUUUUUUUGUCUUUUUGUCUUUUUCUUUUAGGGCCGCACCUGCGGCAUAUGGAGGUUCUUAGGCUAGGGGUCGAAGGGAGCUACAGCUGCUGGCCUACGCCACAGUCACAGCAACGCUAGAUCCAAGCCUCAUCUGUGACCUACAUCACAGCUCACAGCAACACCAGAUCCUUAACCCACUGAGCAAGGCCAGGGAUCGAACCCACGACCUCAUGGUUUCUAGUGGGAUUCAUUUCCACUGUGCCACAACAGGAACUCCUGGUUUCUUUGACUAUAAAAGGGAAGUUAAGACCCCUAUAAGAUAGGCGCUAUUGUGAUAUCUAAUUGAGGUAUUGAUAUCUCACUGAGGUAGUGCCCAGCAUCAAUAUCCAGCACAUAGUAAGCACCCAACUAAUCAUAACUAAUAUUACCAUGAAUAACUUAAUCUUCCUAUGCUUCUUCUAAGAAGCUCUCUAUGAGCCCUCAAGACUGAGUU